AUAUAACCAAUUGUAGCCAUUGUCAUGGUUUGUGUCACAGAAUCUUCUCCUUCACCUAAGAGUUUGGAAAUGCCGAAGUCGCUCACAUGUGCCACCAUAUUUUCAUCCAAGAGAAUGUUGGUGGGCUUCAAAUCACAAUGAAUUAUAGGUGCCGACGAAUGACCAUGAUGGAGAUAUUCAAGGGCCGACCCCACAUCUAUCAUUAUGUUCAACCUCUCUAGGAUGUCUAAGAAAUAGUUGUGAGAAUAUAACCACUUCUCGAGACUACCAUUUGGCAUGAACUCAAGUACCAAUGCUUUAAAAUCUUGAUUAGAACAACUGCUAAGGAUCUUUAUGAGAUUUCGAUGACGAACAUUCAGUAAAACUUCACAUUCAGAAUCAAAACUCCUAAAUGCUCUCUCUAGUUGCAGAUUGAAAACCUUUAUCGCAACAUCAGUCCCGUCGGAAAUGGUUCCUUUAUAAACUGAUCCAAAGCUACCUGUACCAAGCAAGUUACAUUCAUUAAAUUCAUCAGUUGCUCGUUGAAUGUCUAGGUAGGAUGUUCUUCUCCAUGUUGCAAGAGGUAGGAAAUCUUCGUGAUCUGAUUUUUUUGUACUCCUCUUUCGGCAUCUUAUGUACAUAAUGAUGAUAAUCACUAUAAGUACAGAGGAUACUAUCGGAGGCAAAAUAUAUUUAAGGACAAUUAGAGCAACGUUUUUGGUGCUUUUGCUGUCACCUUGUUUGCAAGGUGGGACUCGGAAUUUAGGUGGACCACAGAGUGCAUAAUUUCCGAAAAAUGAUUCAGCUGACAAGUUUUUAAAAGACCCCUUAACAGGAAUUUCCCCUUCUAGCCUAUUAUGAGACACAUUAAAUUGUUUGAGAUGUGAAAGUGUCUCCAAUGACUUAGGAAUUUUUCCAGAGAGAUUGUUGCCAGAGAGAUCUAAGGAUUCUAAGCUUAUCAAACUACCAACUGAUUCAGGAAUAGGUCCUUGAAAUUGAUUACUAGCCAAUGAUAGAGUUUCUAUAUCUUUGAGGGCACCGAUGGUUGAUGGAAUAUCACCUGAUAAUUGAUUCCUUGAUAAAUCUAAAACUCUCAAGACCUUUAACUUUUGUACAUUGGAAGGGAGAGAAUCAUUUAACGAAUUUGACGACAAGUUUAUCUCUAAGAUGUACUCAAGGCUCCACAAGGAUGACGGUAUACUAGAAGUGAGCUUGUUGGAGCCUAAGUGGAGUUCUCUUAGAGAUGUCAGACUCGCCAAGCAUGGUGGUAUAUGUCCAGAGAGCUUAUUUCCAUUUAACAUUAUUCCGUACAUCAACUCCAAGUGGCAAAGAUCAUAGGGAAUGGAUCCUUCCAAAUUAUUUUCUUCAAGAGAUAAACCUUGUAGCCGCUUAAGUCUUCCCAUCGUUGGUGAAAUAGUUCCAUUCAAGUCAUUGAAGCCGAGGCUUAAGAGGAUCAGGCCACGCAACUUACCAAUUUCUUUAGGAAUGCUGCCCCCGAGUUUGCAGUUGGAUGCAUAAAAUUGUCGAAGAGAAGCAGAGAAAUUUCCAAUUACUGGUGGAAGGAUGCCACCCAAUGGAUUAUAAGCUAAGGCUAAAACUGUUAAAUUUCUGCAAUUAGUCAGAGAAGAGAGAAAACUCCACUGAUCUGCUGAAGAUGAUUCUGUCGUCAAGUUAUUAAAUGCUAAGCCAAGCACGCCGAGGUGUCUCAAGUUGCCAAAUGUAUUUGGAAUAUGGCCUGAGAAUGAGUUAAAGCUCAAUUCUAGGCCAAUGAGUUUAGAAGCGUUUGUGAUGGAGUUGGGAAUUUUUCCGGUAAGGUUAUUGGCCGCCAAGGUUAAAUACUCUAUGCUCGGAAGCGAGUGGCCAAUCGUUGAUGGUAAGUGGCCUGAAAGUUGAUUGCUAAUUAGAUUAAGGACUGUUAGGGUUGAAAUGUUGAAGAUUGUGGGUGGAAUGGGGCCACUUAAAUUAUUCGCACUAAGAACAAGGGUAUCCAAAUUUUGUAGAUUGCCAAUCUCAGUUGGAAUUUGACCUGUCAUAAAGAUAAACGCCAAAUUGAUGAGUUAUUGAGCUUUUUACUUAACAUAAAUUUUAAUUUCAUAACGCAUGAAAAUCAAAUUUGCCCACAAAAUGUGUGUUAUUAGUUUUAUAAUUUUUUUUUGGGUUUUUUUUGGGGGGGGGGGGGGGGAGAUUGAUAUUGCUACCUCAUAAUUUUUGUAAAACCCCACCCGCUUUCAGAGAAUUAUUGGAACAAGAUUCUUAAAAAAAUUCAAAUAAAGAAGAAGUUUGGAGAAAUAAUCAAUUAAAUCCAUCUUAAUAUACUUUUUGAAACUUAUAUUCUUUUAUCAUAUAUAAUAACUAAGGUUGCUUUAACAUAAAUUUAAUAUAACUAGUCUACUCUCAUAAGGUAGAAUUACUAAAAUACCCACAAAUUUACUUCAACUUCAACUAAACUAACAAAAUGUAUUUGUUGACAUGUGGGGAACUAAAAAUUAUUGAAUUUUAUUUUAGAAAUAUUGUAUUACAAAACAUAAAACAAAAUGCCGAAACUAUAUAUUAGAUACAAUAGUACAUGUUUUUCGGGGUAAUUUGGUCAUUUUAUAUUAUAAGAGUAAAAUAGUCAAAUUAAACUUAUUUUAAAGCAACCGUAAACGGUCAAAGAUUGUUAAAAGCCCUAAGUCAUAAAAGAAAAACAUUAUAAAAAUAAUUUAUUAAUUGUUCAGACUUAAUUUAUAAUUUUAUAACAUAAUGUGAACUUAUUAUAACUAUCUUUUCAAAAUGAGGUGGGUUUGCAAGAAUAAUGAGUGGAAAUAUCCCCACCCUAUAAAAUAAAAAGAAUUUUGCAGCUAUGCAAAUGCAAAUAUGUAGAACGUACCUUGUAGGUUGUUAUAACCUAGAUUCAGAAUGAAAAGGCUGCUAAAAUUUCCUAUCCCUGAAGGAAUAUUUCCAUCAAUAACGUUGUAGAUUGCGUCGAACACCUCCAGCUUCGAUAAAUUGAGGAGAGAAUUUGGGAUUGGACCCGUGAAACUGUUAUUAUAAAGCCUCAACGUUUGUAAUUUGGAUAAGACACCAAUCCAUGUUGGAAUGCUUCCACUCAAUUUAUUGAAACCGAAUCUAAUGAAUCUGAGUCGGCGUAAUUGCCCCAAUUCAUUAGGCAGAUGGCCAUGAAAAUUAUUAUGAGCAACAUCAAGAGAUACUAAGAACGUGAGAUUUCCCAAGUGUAGUGGAAUGGUGCCUCCGAGACCCAUAUCUGAAAGAUUCAAGGCAGUGACUCUUUGAUGGCGUGAACCACAAGAGAUACCAACCCAGCUACAUAUUGGAUAAGAUAUAGACCAAUUAUUUGUCAGAUCACUUCGAUAAUCAACGACACGGGCUUUGAAUGCAAGAAGAGCCGAUUGAUCUGUUGUUAAGUUGCUCAAAGUCGUCAUAGCUAAGCUAGCUAUGGAAUAUUGUACCAACAACAUAGGAACAAAGAAGAAUGAUAAGCACAUAUUGGUCGUUUUUUUUUAUAGAUGCAGCAAUCUAAUUGCUAGGUGAAGUUGAUACAAGUUUUAAGUGAAGGAAACUAGCAUAUACUUAUACAAGAGACGUAUGAAUUUGAAAACAAGAAAAGAAAAAAAUGUACAGGAGAGUGGAGACAUGCAAAUUGGUAUAUUUCAUCAUUGAGCGAGUCGUCCAAGUAAACUCAUACAGACCUGUAAAUUGUUAUAGGCCGCGGUACUUGAACCGUGAAUAAAGGGCUUAUGGCACUUGACUUACCAAAAAGAAGAAGAUGCUCAACAUUGGCAAGGCCUAUGCAUUCUGUCCAUUUGUUCACGUUUUGCCAAGGCUCAGGGCAACCACAAUAUGUUCUUUUUCUUCCCUCUUAAAACAAAAAACAAAAAAAAAAGACGACAUUUACAUUUGGGCUAAUAAUUAUAACUAAACAAUUAAUAAUACUGAGGGUCAGUGGUAAUGUAGCUUUAAAAUAAUUGUUAUUAGUUGUGUCUUAAAAAUAAAGAAAAAAAAUAACUAUACCCAUAUAAUUAAUAAAAUAAUCAUGUAAAUUCCUAAGCUUUUAACAAUAUACACCAAGACCCCCUACCGUUACUUUUUACCAUUUAUUUGGAUGUCACAUGCUUUUUUUUUUUAAUUUUCACAGUGGAUAUCAAAUGCUAAAUUUACUGUUAUUCCCAUAUCAUGUCAUCACUUGCUUCUACACACAUUGAUUGUUUUUCCAAAGUUUCAAAUUGAAUUAAAAACAUUCUAAUUAACCUAAAAAAAACUCAUCCAACCAGAUAUAAAUCAUCUAAUUAACCUAAAGAUAGCUACACCCCCAUAUUAAUUCCAAUUAAAUAAAAUUCAUUUUUGUCAUGAUUUUGGAUCUCGAGCAGGGUGGAUAUAUCCAACUAGAUCCGCCCCAUUGGCAUUCCAGUAUAUUCUGUAAUUGGAAGAGUAUGAAUGACUUAAUUUGUAAUUUUAAAUUUGUAACGUUCAAUUCUAAUUUGAGGAUUCAAAUGAAUUUAUGCGAAUCUAAAAGGGGACUGAAGAUUGGCAUGCAUACAUGCAUACAUAUACAUAUAUAUAUAAAUAGAGAGAGAGAGAGAGAGAGAGAGAGAGAGAGGUAAUAUAACAUUCUUCUUGAUGAAGAUUUUUGUGCCAUACGAAUUAAAGAGAGUAUUGUGUCGAUGUUCGAGGCUAGAGCGACAAUUGGUUACAUUGCUUCAGAGGUGUUUAGUAGAAACUUUGGUGAGGCAUCACAUAAUUUAAAUUACUAGAUUUAGCGAGAUAUAUAUAUUUUCCACAUUGGAUUUACAAGCAUUUCGAGCAGUAUAAUGAAUUAAAAUUACUCGGAAUUGUAAACAGCGAGGAAAGUGAAAUUGCUAAGAAGAUGAAUAUUUUGUUGUUUUGUGGUGUACACGGACUCGUCCAUCGGAUAGGUCGCCCAUGAACAGAGGGAUAGAAAUGUUAUUGCCAAGAAGCAGACUGACUAGCAGUGACGCUUUGAAAAGUCCACCGGACAUCGUCUCCUCCAAGACCACCAAUAGAUUCUUCCACCAUUUCAACGUCGUGACGUGGGGAUCGGAAUUGAAUUAUAGGAUGCUUGUAAGUUUCCUUUGUGGAACUUGUGAAUUUGUGAUGGCAAAAGUCAAUGAUGCAUGUAACUAGCUAGCCCGUGUAGACUCCGUUUUACACUUUUUCAAAACCCAAAAGCACGCUAAAUCUUAAUCUUAAAAGAAUUUUUGAUUCAGUGCUGAAUUUUGGGCUUAUCUUUAAGUAAUCUUUUACCACGCAUGCAUUUUUGUCAUUGUGCAGUCAUCGAUUGCUUCUAAAGAUCGUAAUCCUUAAGAAAAAAUUACUUCUCUUGAAAGUGAAAGCAGGGCAGCUAUUGGCGUAUUGCAUUGCAGCUGCUAUGUGUAGUAGUCAAUUCUUGGAAACAACUAGUUUUCUUAAAUUGUAAACGGUCCCCUUUAUGACUGGGAGAUUUUGAACAAAAUUAAUAUGACGAAUUCUUUGCAGGUGUUGUUCCUUGAAGUCUCAUCUUUCACAAUGUUUCUGAAAUAAAGAUAUUACCAUCUCUGAUUUAAUAUUUAUUCUUGAUUUGUACCACCUAAUCUGAACUUGAUGAAAGAAUAAAGAUUAUGAUCUUGCCUGAUUUUAUUAAUGUGGUCUUAUCUCACGUAAGUCAGUAAUGAAUUAAGGAAAAUUAUCAUUCGUAUACCCUAUAAUUGCUCUGUUAUAAAAAAUACUACAACACUUUGAGGGUGUAUCAAUUGUCCACCCUAAGUUAACAAAAUGUAUCUGUCAUCCACCAAACCGUUAUUUGCCGUUUAAAUAGAAUGACACCAGAGGGGUAAUUUUAUCUUUUCAUAUGAUACAAGUGAUAAUUUAAGGGUAUACAAGUGAUAAUAAAAGAAUUUAAAGGUAUACAAGUGAUAAUUUUAUUUACUUUAAUUUAAGUUUCAAGGGUAAAAUCGUCAAUUCACUAUAAUUCCGUUAACUUUCAAACGGUAGCUAACGGUUUGGUGGUCGGCAGAUAGCUUUUGUUAAUUUAAGGUGGACGAUUGAUAUACUCUCAAAGUGUUGUAGUAUUUUUGAUAAUAGAGCAACUAUAGGAUAUAUGAUUGAUAAUUUCCCAUGAAUUAAUUAAAGUUUACUGUCAAAUUACAAACACAAAAACUGCUGCUGCUUCAUUAUUCACAAUACCUAAAGUCAGUGCAGAACUUAAUAAGUUUUCCAAAAGUUUUACGCUUUCUUUCCCCCAAAUCCCAAGUACUUACUAGAUAUGUCAUGUUUAUACCCAAAGUCAGUGCAGAACUUACUCGAUAUGUCAUGUUUACACAAGAGUUUGUUUAUAAAUAAAUGAGUUGACAAAUAUUUGCCAAAAAAAACGGUGAGUGAUGUCUAGUUCUAUUUUCACAGUUCAGAGUCCAAUUUUGAUUACUGGAAAUUUUAAUUAUGAAGUUGAACUAAGAAUUUGUUAUAAUAUCUUCAACCUUCCUAUACAGUCAUCUGGAAUAAUAAUAUAUCAAAAACAGUAAUAACUCGAUUUACAGGGUGAGAAAGAAAAGAAAGACGCUACGAGGGAAGCAGAGAUUCAAAGACUUCGCCACUUUGUUGGAGGAACAAUUUCAUAAAUCUCCAGAAUAUUGACAUAAAACACAUAACAUACAUAUCUAGCAUUAAGUAUAUUUAUGUAUGUCCAAAGAUAAAAAUUUGAAGAUUAAAUUUAUCAUUUCAAUUUAUGUUCUGCCCAAAGCAAUGGCUUUUAUUCCACAAGCACAAACAAGAAAGAGUACGCACAAAGUUAACAAACACACAUAGCAAACGUGACAUCAACCACUUGCAGCAGCAUCAUCCAGAAACUUCACUCUAAUCUUCUUGAGCUUUUCAGCGGCGUCUUUCGUAGAUGCCCCCUGUUCUGGUGAUUCCAUGCAACAAUCCAAUGCCGAAUGCAUGAUGCUUAAUAAACAAUUCAUUUUAGGAGAAAAAACUUGCUCUUCUCUCACCAAGUUUGCAUCGACAACAUCACUCAAGGCACGAGGUAAUGACUCCCUUACCCAGUCUCUUAAACUUAUUUCUCCUGUAAACAUUUCAUUUGUGGGAUUCUUUCUGGUGAAAGUUUCCAUCAAUAAAACACCAUAACAAUAGACAUCACCUUUGGCCGAAAUCAUUCCUUCUAAUCCUUACUCUGCAUUUUUUUGGUUUCGAUAGAUCAAAUGGAUGUGACAUCAUAAAACAAAUGAUAAACAAAUAGUCUUUUGACAGUCAAGAUGGCCCAAACUUUGACUGUGCUUCGAAAAGAGCGAAAAUUUGAAAUUAUAAUUGAAACCUUACCUGGUGCCAUAUAACCAGUUGUAGCCACUGUCAUGAUUUGGGUCACAGAAUUUUCUUCAUCACCUAAGAGUUCGGAAAUGCCGAACUCACAUGUGCCACCAUAUUUUCAUCCAAGAGAAUGUUGCUAGGCUUCAAAUCACAAUGAAUUACAGGUGCUGAUGAAUGAUCGUGAUGGAGAUAUUCAAGUGCCAGCCGCACAUCUAUCAUUAUAUUCAACCUCUCUAGGAUAUCUAGGAAAUAGUUGUGUGAACACAACCAUUUCUCAAGACUACCAUUGAGCAUGAACUCAAGCACCAGUACUUUAGAAUCUGGAUUGCAACAGCUGCUAGUGAUCUUUGUGAGAUCUUGAUGACGAACAUUCCACAAUACUUCACAUUCAGAAUCAAAACUCCUAAAGGCUCUCUCUAGCUGCAGAUUGAAAACCUUUAUUACAAUAAUAGUCACAUCAUAAAGUGUGCCUUUAUAAACAGAUCCGAAGCUCUCCAUACCUAGCAGGAUACAUUCACUAAAUCCAUCAGCUGCUCGUUGAAUAUCAUGAUAGGAUAGUCUUCUCCAUGUUGUCGAAGAGAACAAAUCUUCUUUAUCUGGAGUUCUUGUUUUCCUAUUUUGAAAUAUUAUGAAGAAUCAUAACAAUUGUUAUUAGUGCAUUGGAUAUAAUCGAAGGCAAAGUAUAUUUCAGGACAAGCAGAGUAGCAUUCUUGGAUCCUUUGCUAUUAUCUUCUUUGCAAGGUGGGACUUGAAGGCCUGGUGGACCACAUAGUGCAUAAUUCUCAAAAAACGAUUGAGCUGAAAUGUUUUUAAAAGGUCCUUUGAUAGGAAUUCCCCCUUCUAGCCUAUUGUGAGACACAUUAAGUUGUUUGAGAUAUGAGAGUGCCUCCAUUGACUUUGGAAUUUCUCCAGAGAGAUUGUUGCUAGGGAGAUCCAAAGAUUCCAACCUUAUCAAACUACCAAAUGAUUUAGGGACCAGACCAUAAAAUUGGUUUCUAGCCAAGGACAAAGUUGCUAGAUCUUUGAGGCCACCAAUACUUACUGGUAUAUCACCUGAUAAUUGAUUUCUUGAUAAAUCAACUCUAUUAAGACCUUUAAGUUUUGUACAUCUGAAGAUAGAUGACCACUUAGAGAAUUUGUUGACAAGUUUACAUACAAGAUGUACUCAAGAUUCCACAAGGAUGAUGGGAUACUAGAAGUGAGCGUGUUGCAGCUUACAAAGAGUGUUUUUAAGGAAUUGAAUAUCUGAAAUCUUGUAUGUAAAUAUUAACACUUAGAGAAUUUGUUGACAAGUUUUUAAGGAUUUACUGAUUAAAUAAUUUUCCAAUUUGUUUGCCUGGAGGAAUUGAAUAGUUAACUGAUUAAAGGAUUUCAAGGUGGUUAGGUCCAGCCGAGCAUUGUAAAUAUUAACGGUCAUUAUGAAUGUGUAAUUCCUAUAUGUGAAAUUGAAUUUCCAUGGUAAAUUUCUGCUAGGGUGUGAUUGUAUGGUAGCCAAUUGUGAGCAACAGAUCCACAUAGUAAUAUAGACUGAAAUUUUGCGUCUUAAGCCAUGAAGAUAUAGAUUUUGGCAAAUAUUAUACAAGCAUUGUUUGCAACACCACAGCUAAUUUGCAGUAGGAUGAAACACUCAGAAUUUUGCCUUUUUCAUGUAUAAAAUUUUAUUUUUUUAAUUGUGAUAUUACAGUUUUGCCCAUCAAGCAUUAUGAAGCUUAAUAUUUGGAUAAAUGUUAGGUUUAAUCUAUAAAUUUUAACUUCAGUGUUUAUUUAGUUUUUAUAUUUUGUAAAAUAUCUCAAGGCAGCCCUAUUAUCAAAUAUUGGCUUGAUCCGUAUAUAUUAACUUCAGUGCUUUAUUUAGGUUUUAUAUUUUGAAAAAUACUUUAAGGCAGUUCUAUUAUCAAAUAUGUUAUGCUCUUGCUUUUAUUUUUUCUUUGUUUUUAUAAUAAUACUCUGAUAACAAUAUUUUUUUACAUUAAUUUUUUAAUCAAUAAAAAGGUAACUAGCAAAUUAACUGAUAAAUUAAUUUGUUAAUUUUUUUAAUCAAUAAAAAAUUUAAUUAAUAAAUUACUUGGUAGCAAAUUAAAAAAUAAAUAUUAGCAUAAAACAAUUGAUAUUUUUCAUUCUCUUACAACAAUCUUACUAAUAAUUUUUUUAUAAAAAAUUAAUUUAUUAAAUUAAUCCUUAAAAGUAAAAUAAUAAUAAUUAAUUUGUAUCUUAGUUUUAAAGUUAAUUUGAUAAAUUCAAUUUUUUAAUUAAUAUCUCCAAAAAUAUAGUUGCAACGAUAUUAUUGCAAAAGUAAAAAAAAAAAUAUAUAUAGAAUUUUAAUAUAACUGCCAGUAAAAAUAACUUGAAAUAUUUUUUAAGAUAUAAAAAUUAAACCAACACUUAAUUAAAAAUAUAAAGAAUUAAAUAAACAUUUAUCUUCUAACAUUUCAACCUACUGGCUAAUGGUCAUACAAUCGUGGUGUGGUCCGGGAUGCCCGGCCCAGCCCAUCAUGCAAAAAGCCAUGUCACCCAUAUUCUUAGGCUGCUACUGCAUUAAAAAAAUGAUAUUAAUAAGCGUACGCCACGUCACUCCUCACUCUCUUCUUCGUCACUUUCCUCUCACUCAACAUUUUCUCCCCAAACAAAUUCCUUCUUUGAAAAAUCGCAUUUUCUCCUUCACAGCAACAGCUACAAUGUCUUCAACUUCCAAAAAGGUGAUUUUUUUUUAAUUUUAUUUUUUGUUUAGUUUCUUUCUGUUGCCUUUUUGUUUCGUUUUUUGAAUUUUCUGUGUCGUUUUUUUCCCCCAAGGUUUUGGUGCCUGUUGCGAACGGGAGUGAGCCGAUUGAGUCCGUGAUAACGAUCGAUGUUUUGAGAAGGUCUGGAGCUGACGUCACGGUUGCGUCUGUGGAGAAACAGCUCCGUGUCGACGCGUGUCAUGGUGUCAAGAUUGUCGCUGAUGCUCUCGUGUCUGACUGCCGCGACGCCGUUUUUGAUCUUAUAGCUCUUCCCGUAUGUAUUGCAGCUCUCCUCAGCUCGUGCUAAUUUAUGUGAUGUUUGUAUAAUUAUAGAUGAUUACUGCUGAUACUGAAUGUUAAGCUAAAUAAUUCGUUCUUAAGUCAUCUUCAUUUAAUUUUCGAUUGAAAAUGAAAAAAAUAAUAAUUUUAAGCAAAGAAAAAUAUAGAAAAUGUUUAUUUUGUUUAAUUUUCAAUUUUUAAUUUUCAGGGAUUUCAUUAUUGUGACUGUUAUCAUUCAUUAUAUGGUCAUAGUUAAAUGUUUCAAAUUGUUGUAGUCAGUGAAAUUCUUUUCGAUAUUUAUUCUGGCAUGUAUAUUUUUCCUUUUCAAUUUCUUUUGUUGCUGAUUCUUUGAUUAUGUUAUAUCCUUUUUUGUUUCCCUUGUAGGGUGGCAUGCCCGGUGCUACCAAUCUGAAGGAAUCUGAAGUAUUAGAAAGCAUUGUGAAGAAGCAGGCCUCAGCUGGGCGUCUUUAUGCUGCUGUCUGUGCUUCACCUGCUGUGGCAUUAGGGUCUUGGGGUCUGUUGAAGGGAUUGAAGGUAAGAGUUAGAUAAGCCUUUUUGAUGUUUUGUGGUCUUUUGGGAAUUGCACUGAUAUUUUUGUUAUGGUUCAGUUUUCUUCUCGCUGAUGAUUGUUAAGUUCUAAUUUAUGUAGUUGUUCAUUUUUCCUAGGCUACUUGUUAUCCGUCAUUUAUGGAGCAACUAGCUCCUGCUUGUGCAGCAUGUUGAAUCAAGAGUACAGCAGGAUGGUAAAGUUGUUACGAGUCGUGGACCGGGCACUACCAUGGAGUUUGCCGUUGCACUUGUUGAGCAGUUGUAUGGGAAAGAGAAAGCUGAUGAAGUUUCUGGGCCACUGGUAUUAGCUUUUAUAGAUAACGUUGUUUAAAAAAAUUAUGAGUUAUAUAAUUUGUGGAAGCUUCAGAUGCUAAUGUAUUCAAGAAAAUAAGUUCAGGGGAAGAGUAUGACUUUUUGCAUUAGUGAUUCAUUAGAUGAAAUUGUAUACCUGCUGGUCCAUCAUAAGGUGGUGAAAACAAUGUUUGAUUUAAUUAAUGAAAUCCUGAAAUAUGCAUUUGUUGAGCUUCAAUGUCUCCACUGAUAAAAUUCUUUUUAAUGUAAGUUCUUUCUCUUGGUAUUGUAUUUGAAUUUUCUGUUCCUCAUGCUUUCGUCUUUACUGUCACCUUGUGCCUAGGUAAUGCGUGCAAAUCAUGGAGAUGAAUACACUAUUGCUGAGUUCAAUCCAAUUCAGUGGACAUUUGACAAUUCUCCUCAGGUGAGAUUGGACUGUUAGUUUCUUGUAUUUGUUUUUCUUCUUCCAUGUUUUGAGGGAUACCCAUUUGGCAGUAAAUAAAAAUCUGUGAUAUCUUCUAUACAUGUACAUAUACAUCAUUGACUUCACUCAUUUGUGAACAUAUUGGAGGUAGUAGAUUUAUUGUUAUGAUAUGUCUAAUAAAAUCCAAAGUUCGAUGCAACUACAAAAGAAGUAUGAGCAGUGCUCGACCAGAGAGGAAAAAGGUGGUUUUUUUCUUUUUUUUUUUUGGGGGGGGGGGGGGGGUUGGUUGGGUGGCAAAGGGAAUGAUAAGUUCAGGGUAUCAACAAGCUGUAAAAUGGCUAUCGAAAAACUGAUAUUUCACAUUAGAGAAUGUGAGGACCUGAAGAUUGCUGACUUGUGGUCAAAAUGGAAUUCUUGAUAACUUUAAAUGUUAAAAAUUCUUGGUGAAAAUUUUGUACUUUUUUUUCUUUCAGAUUCUUGUGCCUAUUGCGAAUGGUUCAGAGGAGAUGGAAGCUGUUAUAAUAAUUGAUAUUCUGCGACGAGCUAAAGCAAAUGUUGUGGUUGCGUCAGUUGAGGAUAAACUAGAAAUUCUGGCUUCUCGUCAAGUUAAAUUAGUGGCAGAUAUGCUUAUUGAUGAGGCAGCUAAACUUUCGUAUGAUUUGAUUGUCUUGCCAGUAAGUGGGGUUGCUAACUCUUGCCUCAUAGUCUUUACCAAAUUAUUGACUUACUAGCUACAAUUUAUCUAUGCACAGGGUGGACUUGGUGGUGCUCAAGCAUUUGCGAAGUCAGAAAAAUUGGUAAAUAUGCUAAAGAAGCAAAAGGAAUCAAAUAGACCUUACGGUGCUAUAUGUGCAUCCCCAGCACUAGUGUUGGAGCCCCAUGGCUUACUCAAGGUAUGACCAUUUCUGCUUAAAUAUUUAUUCUUGAUUUGAAUCACCUAAUCUGAACUUGAUAAAACAUUGUGAUCUUGUGUGAUUUUAUGAACGUGGUCUUAUCUCAUGUAAGUCUGUAAUGAAUUUAUUGAAGUUUGCUGACAAAUUACAAACUCAAAAACUGCUGCUGCUUCAUUAGUUACAGUACCCAAGGAGUUAUGAUAGACAUCCCAAACUUUUUACCCCAAAUUCCCUCUCAAAUGACAUGGUAGUUAUUAAGUGGUUGGUAAUUUUUUAUAAGAUAUAAGUGAAUUAAUUAAUUAUAUUAUUUAAUCAACCAAUUGAUGAAUGUCACGCCAUUUGAGAUGAAUUUUUGGGAUGUGUAGCAAAACUUUAUGCUGAUUUGUUUUGGCUACAUUCAUGUAAAACAUUUUUCCCCAAAUCCCAAGAACUUCCCGCAAUAUCAUUCCUUUGUAUUUGUUUUCCCCUUUAGACAUGUUUAACUUUGGUUCAGGGUAAAAAGGCUACGGCUUUUCCUGCCAUGUGCAACAAGCUAUCAGAUCAAAGUGAAAUCGAAAACAGGGUUGUGGUUGAUGGCAACCUUAUCACCAGCAGAGGGCCAGGAACUUCCAUGGAGUUUGCACUGGCAAUUGUGGAGAAGUUUUUUGGCCGCAACAAAGCACUUGAGCUUGCAAAGAUAUUGCUUUUCACCCGCACCUAAAAUUUGUACCAGGACCCGACUAAUAUUAAACUAGAGUGUUUAUUUCUGUAUUACUACUGCUUGUAGAGAGGCGAAAUGGAAACUUGAAUUCAUGUUUGAAUAGGGAUUCACUGUGCGGGUUUGUACAAGAGCUUGUUUAUAAAUAAAUGAGUUCAUAAAGAGUCAUUUUAAAUAUUUGGAAUAAACGUGAGUUGCUGUUUAGUUCUGUUUUCAAUGUUCACCGUUCAAUUGUGAUCCAGAGCAAUAUAACUACACUCACUGGGAAUUUUAAUUAUGAACCAAGAACGAAGUUGAACCGAGAAUUUGAUACUUUAUAUAUUCCAGUUACCAUAUUUAAGAAAGAGUAUUGAAAAGAAAGACGCUAAGAGAGAAUAUUGAAGUUAAACAGAUACCAUAUCUAGUAUUAAGUCUGUAUGCCAAAGUUACAAAUUCGAAGAUCAGAUUCCUCAUUUCAAUUUAUGUUCUGCUCAAAACAAUGGCUCUUAUUCCACAAGCACAAACAAGAAAGAGUACGAACAAAGUUAACAGAGACACGCAGUGAAAAUUACGCUAAUUGGUUGCAGCAGCAUCAUCCAGGAACUUCACUUUAAUCCUCUUGAGCUUUGCUGCAGCGUCUGUCAUAUUUAUCCUCAUGUCGGGUGACUCCAUACAACAAUCCAAUGCCAAAUCCAUUAUGCUUAAUAUACAAUCCAUUUUGGCAGAAAAAGCUUGCUCUUCUCGCACCAAAUUUGCGUCAACAACUUCACUCAAUCCGUGAGGUAAUGACUCCUUUACCCAUGUCCUUAAACUCGUUUCUCCUGUGAACAUUUCAUCGGUGGGCCUCUUUCUCGUGAAAGUUUCCAUUAAUAAAACACCAUAGCUGUAGACAUCACAUUUAGCUGAAACAAUUCCUUCUGAUCCAUACUCUGCAUUUUUUUUAAUUUCAAUUAUGAAACAAAUGAUAAAACAAAUAAGUUUUUGAUAAUUAAGGUAACCCAAACUUUGCUCGUACUUGAAAAAAGAGUAAAAAUUUUAAUUACAAUUGAAACUUUACCUGGUGCCAUAUAACCAAUUGUAGCCAUUGUCAUGGUUUGUGUCACAGAAUCUUCUUCUUCACCUAAGAGUUUGGAAAUGCCGAAGUCGCUCACAUGUGCCACCAUAUUUUCAUCCAAGAGAAUGUUGGGAGGCUUCAAAUCACAAUGAAUUAUAGGUGCCGACGAAUGACCAUGAUGGAGAUAUUCAAGAGCCGACCCCACAUCUAUCAUUAUAUUCAACCUCUCUAGAAUGUCUAAGAAAUAGUUGUGAGAAUACAACCACUUCUCGAGACUACCAUUUGGCAUGAA
This 14453-nucleotide long non-coding RNA is filed under the name Citrus maxima (pomelo). RNAcentral describes it as "long non-coding RNA (CMAX_LNC003044)". The record is from RNAcentral. Lineage: Eukaryota; Viridiplantae; Streptophyta; Magnoliopsida; Sapindales; Rutaceae.